This 527-nucleotide ribosomal RNA is filed under the name Klebsiella pneumoniae. RNAcentral's name for it is "bacterial LSU rRNA". It matches the Rfam family "Bacterial large subunit ribosomal RNA", at positions 2415 to 2925 of the family's 2925-position model. The record is from RNAcentral. Lineage: Bacteria; Pseudomonadati; Pseudomonadota; Gammaproteobacteria; Enterobacterales; Enterobacteriaceae.
GUGAUCCGGUGGUUCUGAAUGGAAGGGCCAUCGCUCAACGGAUAAAAGGUACUCCGGGGAUAACAGGCUGAUACCGCCCAAGAGUUCAUAUCGACGGCGGUGUUUGGCACCUCGAUGUCGGCUCAUCACAUCCUGGGGCUGAAGUAGGUCCCAAGGGUAUGGCUGUUCGCCAUUUAAAGUGGUACGCGAGCUGGGUUUAGAACGUCGUGAGACAGUUCGGUCCCUAUCUGCCGUGGGCGCUGGAGAAUUGAGGGGGGCUGCUCCUAGUACGAGAGGACCGGAGUGGACGCAUCACUGGUGUUCGGGUUGUCAUGCCAAUGGCACUGCCCGGUAGCUAAAUGCGGAAGAGAUAAGUGCUGAAAGCAUCUAAGCACGAAACUUGCCCGAGAUGAGUUCUCCCUGAGACUUUAAGUCUCCUGAAGGAACGUUAAAGACGAUGACGUUGAUAGGCCGGGUGUGUAAGCGCAGCGAUGCGUUGAGCUAACCGGUACUAAUGAACCGUGAGGCUUAACCUUACAACGCCGAAG